This is a long non-coding RNA of Dreissena polymorpha, 403 nucleotides long. RefSeq lists it as uncharacterized. The transcript has 5 exons. Lineage: Eukaryota; Metazoa; Mollusca; Bivalvia; Myida; Dreissenidae. The record is from RefSeq and is a predicted model, not a curated record.
UGGGAAGGUUAUACAAGCUGUAAGGACAAUAUGGAACAUUACAGGGAAAUAGAAGCACCGCACAGGCUGGGAAGGUUAUACAAGCUGUAAGGACAAUAUGGAACAUUACAGGGAAAUAGAAGCACCGCACAGGCUGGGAAGGUUAUACAAGCUGUAAGGACAAUAUGGAACAUUACAGGGAAAUAGAAGCACCGCACAGGCUGGGAAGGUUAUACAAGCUGUAAGGACAAUAUGGAACAUUACAGGGAAAUAGAAGCACCGCACAGGCUGAGAAGGUUAUACAAGCUGUAAGGACAAUAUGGAACAUUACAGGGAAAUAGAAGCACCGCACAGGCUGGGAAGGUUAUACAAGCUGUAAGGACAAUAUGGAACAUUACAGGGAAAUAGAAGCACGGCACAGGCU